UGUCCUUAUUUGCCAGCACGUAAUGGUGGGAACUCUAAGGAGACUGCCGGUGACAAACCGGAGGAAGGUGGGGACGAUGUCAAGUCAUCAUGGCCCUUAUGACCAGGGCUACACACGUGCUACAAUGGGACGUACAGAGGGUUGCUAAGCCGCGAGGUGGAGCCAAUCCCAGAAAACGUUUCGUAGUCCGGAUCGAAGUCUGCAACUCGACUUCGUGAAGUCGGAAUCGCUAGUAAUCGCGAAUCAGCAUGUCGCGGUGAAUACGUUC
RNAcentral lists this ribosomal RNA (268 nucleotides) under unidentified gamma proteobacterium groupE. RNAcentral's name for it is "partial 16S small subunit ribosomal RNA". It matches the Rfam family "Bacterial small subunit ribosomal RNA", at positions 1106 to 1373 of the family's 1533-position model. Lineage: Bacteria; Pseudomonadati; Pseudomonadota; Gammaproteobacteria. The record is from RNAcentral.